RNAcentral lists this ribosomal RNA (450 nucleotides) under uncultured bacterium. RNAcentral describes it as "partial 16S ribosomal RNA". It matches the Rfam family "Bacterial small subunit ribosomal RNA", at positions 354 to 796 of the family's 1533-position model. The record is from RNAcentral.
GUGGGGAAUAUUGGACAAUGGGCGAAAGCCUGAUCCAGCCAUGCCGCGUGUGUGAAGAAGGUCUUCGGAUUGUAAAGCACUUUAAGUUGGGAGGAAGGGCAGUAAGUUAAUACCUUGCUGUUUUGACGUUACCGACAGAAUAAGCACCGGCUAACUUCGUGCCAGCAGCCGCGGUAAUACGAAGGGUGCAAGCGUUAAUCGGAAUUACUGGGCGUAAAGCGCGCGUAGGUGGUUUUGUAAGUUGGAGGUGAAAUCCCCUGGCUCAACCUGGGAACUGCCUCCAAAACUGCAUAACUAGAGUACGGUAGAGGGUAGUGGAAUUUCCUGUGUAGCGAUGAAAUGCGUAGGUAUAGGAAGGAACACCAGUGGCGAAGGCGACUACCUGGACUGAUACUGACACUGAGGUGCGAAAGCGUGGGGAGCAAACAGGAUUAGAUACCCCAGUAGUCC